UCGCCUGUUUAACAAAAACAUGUCUUUUUGAAAUUUUUUUAAAAGUCUAACCUGCCCACUGAAUAAUUUAAAUGGCCGCAGUAUACUAACUGUGCAAAGGUAGCAUAAUCAUUAGUCUUUUAAUUGAAGGCUGGUAUGAAUGGUUGGACGAGAUAUUAACUGUUUCAUAAAAAUUUAUAAUAGAAUUUUAUUUUUUAGUCAAAAAGCUAAAAUAAAAUUAAAAGACGAGAAGACCCUAUAAAUCUUUAUAUAUAAGUUAUUAGAAUUUUGUAGAUUUUUUUUAUUAUAAUAAUUAACUGUAUUUUAUUGGGGUGAUAUUAAAAUUUAAUUAACUUUUAAUUUUUAAAAUCAUUAAUUUAUGAAUAAUUGAUCCGUUAAUAACGAUUAAAAAAAUAAGUUACUUUAGGGAUAACAGCGUAAUUUUUUUGGAGAGUUCAUAUCGAUAAAAAAGAUUGCGACCUCGAUGUUGGAUUAAGAUAUAAUUUUAGGUGCAGUCGCUUAAAUUUUAAGUCUGUUCGACUUUUAAAAUCUUACGUGAUCUGUUCCCAAACCGGA
Molecule: ribosomal RNA, 555 nt
Filed under: Sarcophaga dux
Lineage: Eukaryota; Metazoa; Arthropoda; Insecta; Diptera; Sarcophagidae
Description: partial 16S ribosomal RNA
Rfam family: Bacterial large subunit ribosomal RNA
Source: RNAcentral